Gallus gallus (chicken) is the source of this 1254-nucleotide long non-coding RNA. RefSeq lists it as uncharacterized. NCBI's taxonomy places the organism in Eukaryota, Metazoa, Chordata, Aves, Galliformes, Phasianidae. The record is from RefSeq and is a predicted model, not a curated record. The transcript has 3 exons.
AGAAACUACUGCUGCAUGUUCAAUGGAGAUCAGCUUGCUGAAGAGAGAAGUUUUACUGCUGCCCAGACCACCUCUUCUGAGAUAUCCUUUCAAAGGGAUUUGAAAGCUUAAUGAAGCACGAGGUGUCUGCUUUGAAGAGCUGCAGGAGUGGGCCAUAUUGCUACCUCUUUCUCCAUAUAGUUAUUUUGUUUGGAACGAAACCUACCUACUGUCAAACACAAAAGACACCAUACCUUUGAGAACCACAUCACACUCUUGCUUUGACAGAAGUCACCAAGUCAGCCCUGCAAGCUCCAUCCACCCAGGAACCAAAGGACAGCUCUAGUGACCAACUCAGAGAAGGUCAAAUAAAAUUUCCAUUGCUUUGGGAGGAGAGCUAGAUCUCCAGUUGAUAUUCAUAGGGAGGACACAUAACCUCAGGUUGACCUUGCUUAUUGGUAUGAAUCACUGACUGUCAGGCACAGGAGGAGAAUCAGGAACUGGAGCCAAAAAUUUCUUAAGUUAUUGACAAGAAUAUAAAAGUGGAGAAAAACUAACAAAAAAAAAAAAAAAGAAAAAAAAAAGAAAUACUGAUUGUAACGAAGCAACACUGAUGGCCGCCCACAUUCAGAGAUCUCCCCUUUGAAGAAGACUGACCAGAAAUUGCAUUUAAAGCAGCUGAUUCUCCCCUGGAAUUAACACGUGACAGGCCCAGAAAACAACACCAAGCAUUGACACAGAGCUGCAUCCUAUUCCCAUGUGGUCACUGGUAAUUUUCAUGCUCUCCCAAGCUUGAGAUGAAGCUGUUUCUGCAAGCUGUUCCUGGGGAUGGCACAUGGGAGGUGCUGGGUGGAGAUGUCCACACAGAGAUGCCUUGCUUGGCCCUCAGUACCAGCUGAGGUGAUCAGCAACAGCUGCUGGUGUGACUGAGGCACAGGCUACAGACACCCAACUCUUUCCUGCCUUGGCCCCCCCAGAGCAGCAGAUGGUUCCUGCUGCUGCUAUUCUCCUCUGGUAGAUAAUGGUCUCCCGGGAGAAGUGCUGGAAGGUGGAUUACCUACAGUUUCAACACAGGGUGAGGCAUUGCUACUCAGAGGAUGAUAGAAGGGAAAAUUGCAAGGCAAUGCACCAAAAUCUCUCUGUGUUCAUAUCUGAGUUGUUCUGAUCAUUGUUAAUGACAUGGUAGAUGUUUUUCAUUUUUACUUUGUAUGAGUUCAUUUAUGUAGGCACUCAAAUUCUCUUCUAAGAUCCCAUUAAAAUGCACCACACUCCACU